UGAUAUAUUUUUGGGCAGAUCAUCAUCUAGUUGUGACAGAUCAACACCUGACUACCCAGAAUCACCCGUUAUUACAAACCCGACUACAUCAAAUGAUUAUAAAAAAUGUUAACUCAUCCAUUAAGUAUUGUUUGGCUAGCAAGAAAAUUAUGGA
Molecule: non-coding RNA, 154 nt
Organism: Populus trichocarpa (black cottonwood)
Lineage: Eukaryota; Viridiplantae; Streptophyta; Magnoliopsida; Malpighiales; Salicaceae
Source: Rfam